AACACAUGCAAGUCGAGGGGUAGAAUUUCUUCGGAAAUUUGAGACCGGCGCACGGGUGCGUAACGCGUAUGCAAUCUACCCUUUACUGGAGAAUAGCCCGGAGAAAUUCGGAUUAAUGCUCCAUAUGCUCGUAGGAUCUCCUGAUCCAGCGAGGAAAGCUCCGGCGGUAAAGGAUGAGCAUGCGUCCCAUUAGCUUGUUGGUGAGGUAACGGCUCACCAAGGCGACGAUGGGUAGGGGGCCUGAGAGGGCGAUCCCCCACACUGGUACUGAGACACGGACCAGACUCCUACGGGAGGCAGCAGUGAGGAAUAUUGGGCAAUGGAGGCAACUCUGACCCAGCCAUGCCGCGUGCAGGAAGACGGUCCUCUGGAUUGUAAACUGCUUUUAUUAGGGAAUAAACCCUCCUACGUGUAGGAGGCUGAAGGUACCUGAUGAAUAAGCAUCGGCUAACUCCGUGCCAGCAGCCGCGGUAAUACGGAGGAUGCAAGCGUUAUCCGGAUUUAUUGGGUUUAAAGGGUCCGUAGGCGGGUAUUUAAGUCAGUGGUGAAAGCCCACAGCUCAACUGUGGAACUGCCAUUGAUACUGGAUGUCUUGAGUAUAGUAGAAGUAGGCGGAAUAGGGCAUGUAGCGGUGAAAUGCAUAGAUAUGCCCUAGAACACCGAUUGCGAAGGCAGCUUACUAUGUUAUAACUGACGCUGAGGGACGAAAGCGUGGGGAGCAAACAGGAUUAGAUACCCUGGUAGUCCACGCCGUAAACGAUGAUUACUCGCUGCUGGCGAUAUACAGUCAGUGGCCAAGCGAAAGCAUAAGUAAUCCACC
Molecule: ribosomal RNA, 820 nt
Filed under: uncultured bacterium
Lineage: Bacteria
Description: bacterial SSU rRNA
Rfam family: Bacterial small subunit ribosomal RNA
Source: RNAcentral